Molecule: ribosomal RNA, 774 nt
Filed under: uncultured Neocallimastigales
Lineage: Eukaryota; Fungi; Neocallimastigomycota; Neocallimastigomycetes; Neocallimastigales
Description: partial large subunit ribosomal RNA
Rfam family: Eukaryotic large subunit ribosomal RNA
Source: RNAcentral
AGAGAGAGACAUGCGCGCAUAUCAAUAAGCGGAGGAAAAGAAACUAACUAGGAUUCCCUCAGUAACGGCGAGUGAAGCGGGAAGAGCUCAAAUUUGAAAUCUUCAAGGUUCUACCUUGACGAAUUGUAGUUUAAAGAAGUGUUUUCUGUUGAAGUUUUGGUAAAAGUUCUUUGGAAUAGGACAUCAUAGAGGGUGAGAAUCCCGUAUUUGACCAUUACUUUCAACUUUGUGAUACACUUUCAAAGAGUCGGAUUGUUUGGGAAUGCAGUCCAAAAUGGGUGGUAAAUUUCAUCUAAAGCUAAAUAUUGGCGAGAGACCGAUAGCGAACAAGUACCGUGAGGGAAAGAUGAAAAGAACUUUGAAAAGAGAGUUAAACAGUACGUGAAAUUGUCAAAAGGGAAGCGUUUGACACCAGUGUUGUUUUCUCGAAAAUCAAUUAAAAAAGGCAGGAUUUUGUGUUGUAUUGACUUUAUCAGCUUUCUGCACUCUUUUCUUGUCUUUUUUAAUGCACUUUUCGUUUAACAAGUCAACAUCAAUUUCUUUUGUUGUAAAAGGGUCAUUGGAAGGUGGCUUUCUUUUCGGAGAAAGUGUUUAUAGCCUUUGGCCUCUGCAAUCGGAGAGAUUGAGGUCUGCAGCGUAGAUCCUUCGGGGUUAGAUACAUUUGUGCUAAGUUAUAGCCUUUCAUAGACAACUUGUUGACUAUGAUCAGUCAUGUAGCUUACUCGCUUAUGCUAUUUUACCUACGCUUAGGAUGUUGAUGUGAUACUGCGAGCA